UUGUAAUGUCGACGACAUCCGCAAGAAGCCAGCGUAGCGCAGGGAAGCACGGAGGUGCAAGACGAGGGGCUGGUUGUCGGAAAAUACAACUAGACGCAGAAUACAAAAUAUUAAGACUGGAACGAUCUACUUACGACAGACUCCUCGCUUUGAGAGAUCGCCAUACUUGCCCAGUUUCAACUCGCUUGCCGAAUUUCUUUUGAGGCGCGUACUCAACUGCAGCUGUCAGCCAUUGUCCACUUCUGUACGGGAGCCUACUGCGAUUGGUGACGAUUCAGCAACAUUGGAGACUAUAGCUUCCCAUUCUAGAGAACGUACAGACCAGUCUGACUGUUCGAUAGCUACAGGUAGCCUAGCUAGUAGAUUACUGAGAAUAGAGAAGGUAUAUAUA
Long non-coding RNA from Corticium candelabrum, 391 nucleotides. RefSeq lists it as uncharacterized. NCBI's taxonomy places the organism in Eukaryota, Metazoa, Porifera, Homoscleromorpha, Homosclerophorida, Plakinidae. The transcript is spliced from 3 exons. The record is from RefSeq and is a predicted model, not a curated record.